This 650-nucleotide small RNA is filed under the name Arabidopsis thaliana (thale cress). RNAcentral's name for it is "ATSL193770". Lineage: Eukaryota; Viridiplantae; Streptophyta; Magnoliopsida; Brassicales; Brassicaceae. The record is from RNAcentral.
CUAAUUUCAAAGUUCUAAGUUUCCAAUUUCUUUGCUCAAUAUAUUUACCCAUCUGUUUGUACCGAGGUUGUAACAAUAAUAACUAAGGCGUUUGGGGAGAACGGAGUAGCUUCUUUAUUAAUGACGAACAGAAAAGAUGGUAACUUAACAGAACGGAAAACCGUAAGUACAAAACGGAGAACCGAAAUUACAGAACGGAAAACCGAAAGUACAAGUCGGAAAACCAGAAAAUACAGAAUAGAAAACGAGAAAGUAAGAGAUAACAGAGCUAGGCAAUUAUUCUCUCUUAAAUUUUCUAGGUAAUAACUCUUGGUCUGGACCCAGUUCCCAAUAGUGUCUUCUGCUAUUUAUAGGUUAGGAGAUGACCUAGGGUCUCCCCUGCGACUUUCCAUUUUUACCCUCUUAGGUUUCCAUUUUUACCCUCUUAGGUUUGUCUGGCUGGGCCGAAUUGAUGUUGUUGGACCGAGCAACUUACAUCUGGGCCGAGCCGGUCGAUCUAAUGGGUCGAUUUUCUGAUGGGCCUUUCUUUUGGUGGGCCGUUUUGACUUAUUUAUCUUGUGUUUGGGUCGAACUGGGCAUGAAGGGCAAGGCGCGUAUCCCACACCAUCUUUGAUGGCAAAUUUAAAAUUGGAUUAUCAAACUAAAAAUGU